UCCGUAGGGUCCGAGCGUUGUCCGGAAUUACUGGGCGUAAAGAGCUCGUAGGUGGUUUGUCGCGUUGUUCGUGAAAACUCACAGCUUAACUGUGGGCGUGCGGGCGAUACGGGCAGACUUGAGUACUGCAGGGGAGACUGGAAUUCCUGGUGUAGCGGUGGAAUGCGCAGAUAUCAGGAGGAACACCGGUGGCGAAGGCGGGUCUCUGGGCAGUAACUGACGCUGAGGAGCGAAAGCGUGGGGAGCGAACAGG
This 253-nucleotide ribosomal RNA is filed under the name uncultured bacterium. RNAcentral describes it as "partial 16S ribosomal RNA". It matches the Rfam family "Bacterial small subunit ribosomal RNA", at positions 524 to 776 of the family's 1533-position model. The record is from RNAcentral.